Molecule: ribosomal RNA, 1545 nt
Filed under: Salmonella enterica subsp. diarizonae
Lineage: Bacteria; Pseudomonadati; Pseudomonadota; Gammaproteobacteria; Enterobacterales; Enterobacteriaceae
Description: partial 23S ribosomal RNA
Rfam family: Bacterial large subunit ribosomal RNA
Source: RNAcentral
UGCUGGAGGUAUCAGAAGUGCGAAUGCUGACAUAAGUAACGAUAAAGCGGGUGAAAAGCCCGCUCGCCGGAAGACCAAGGGUUCCUGUCCAACGUUAAUCGGGGCAGGGUGAGUCGACCCCUAAGGCGAGGCCGAAAGGCGUAGUCGAUGGGAAACGGGUUAAUAUUCCCGUACUUGGUGUUACUGCGAAGGGGGGACGGAGAAGGCUAUGUUGGCCGGGCGACGGUAGUCCCGGUUUAAGCGUGUAGGUGUGUGUUCCAGGCAAAUCCGGUUCACUUUAACACUGAGGCGUGAUGACGAGGCACCACGGUGCUGAAGCAACAAAUGCCCUGCUUCCAGGAAAAGCCUCUAAGCAUCAGGUAACAUCAAAUCGUACCCCAAACCGACACAGGUGGUCAGGUAGAGAAUACCAAGGCGCUUGAGAGAACUCGGGUGAAGGAACUAGGCAAAAUGGUGCCGUAACUUCGGGAGAAGGCACGCUGACACGUAGGUGAAGUGAUUUACUCAUGGAGCUGAAGUCAGUCGAAGAUACCAGCUGGCUGCAACUGUUUAUUAAAAACACAGCACUGUGCAAACACGAAAGUGGACGUAUACGGUGUGACGCCUGCCCGGUGCCGGAAGGUUAAUUGAUGGGGUCAGCGCAAGCGAAGCUCCUGAUCGAAGCCCCGGUAAACGGCGGCCGUAACUAUAACGGUCCUAAGGUAGCGAAAUUCCUUGUCGGGUAAGUUCCGACCUGCACGAAUGGCGUAAUGAUGGCCAGGCUGUCUCCACCCGAGACUCAGUGAAAUUGAACUCGCUGUGAAGAUGCAGUGUACCCGCGGCAAGACGGAAAGACCCCGUGAACCUUUACUAUAGCUUGACACUGAACAUUGAGCCUUGAUGUGUAGGAUAGGUGGGAGGCUUUGAAGCGUGGACGCCAGUCUGCGUGGAGCCGACCUUGAAAUACCACCCUUUAAUGUUUGAUGUUCUAACGUGGACCCGUAAUCCGGGUUGCGGACAGUGUCUGGUGGGUAGUUUGACUGGGGCGGUCUCCUCCUAAAGAGUAACGGAGGAGCACGAAGGUUGGCUAAUCCUGGUCGGACAUCAGGAGGUUAGUGCAAUGGCAUAAGCCAGCUUGACUGCGAGCGUGACGGCGCGAGCAGGUGCGAAAGCAGGUCAUAGUGAUCCGGUGGUUCUGAAUGGAAGGGCCAUCGCUCAACGGAUAAAAGGUACUCCGGGGAUAACAGGCUGAUACCGCCCAAGAGUUCAUAUCGACGGCGGUGUUUGGCACCUCGAUGUCGGCUCAUCACAUCCUGGGGCUGAAGUAGGUCCCAAGGGUAUGGCUGUUCGCCAUUUAAAGUGGUACGCGAGCUGGGUUUAGAACGUCGUGAGACAGUUCGGUCCCUAUCUGCCGUGGGCGCUGGAAGACUGAGGGGGGCUGCUCCUAGUACGAGAGGACCGGAGUGGACGCAUCACUGGUGUUCGGGUUGUCAUGCCAAUGGCACUGCCCGGUAGCUAAAUGCGGAAAAGAUAAGUGCUGAAAGCAUCUAAGCACGAAACUUGCCC